RNAcentral lists this ribosomal RNA (429 nucleotides) under Chloroflexota bacterium. Its description in RNAcentral is "Chloroflexi bacterium partial 16S ribosomal RNA". It matches the Rfam family "Bacterial small subunit ribosomal RNA", at positions 355 to 776 of the family's 1533-position model. Lineage: Bacteria; Bacillati; Chloroflexota. The record is from RNAcentral.
UGGGGAAUAUUGCACAAUGGGCGCAAGCCUGAUGCAGCCAUGCCGCGUGUAUGAAGAAGGCCUUCGGGUUGUAAAGUACUUUCAGUCGGGAGGAAGGGAGUAAAGUUAAUACCUUUGCUCAUUGACGUUACCCGCAGAAGAAGCACCGGCUAACUCCGUGCCAGCAGCCGCGGUAAUACGGAGGGUGCAAGCGUUAAUCGGAAUUACUGGGCGUAAAGCGCACGCAGGCGGUUUGUUAAGUCAGAUGUGAAAUCCCCGGGCUCAACCUGGGAACUGCAUCUGAUACUGGAAAGCUUGAGUCUCGUAGAGGAGGGUAGAAUUCCAGGUGUAGCGGUGAAAUGCGUAGAGAUCUGGAGGAAUACCGGUGGCGAAGGCGGCCCCCUGGACGAAGACUGACGCUCAGGUGCGAAAGCGUGGGGAGCAAACAGG